AACGAACGCUGGCGGCAUGCCUAACACAUGCAAGUCGAACGUAGGCUUCGGCCUUAGUGGCGCACGGGUGCGUAACGCGUGGGAAUCUGCCCUUAGGUUCGGAAUAACAGUUAGAAAUGACUGCUAAUACCGGAUGACGACGUAAGUCCAAAGAUUUAUCGCCUGAGGAUGAGCCCGCGUAGGAUUAGCUAGUUGGUGUGGUAAAGGCGCACCAAGGCGACGAUCCUUAGCUGGUCUGAGAGGAUGAUCAGCCACACUGGGACUGAGACACGGCCCAGACUCCUACGGGAGGCAGCAGUGGGGAAUAUUGGACAAUGGGCGCAAGCCUGAUCCAGCAAUGCCGCGUGAGUGAUGAAGGCCUUAGGGUUGUAAAGCUCUUUUACCCGUGAUGAUAAUGACAGUAGCGGGAGAAUAAGCCCCGGCUAACUCCGUG
This 433-nucleotide ribosomal RNA is filed under the name uncultured bacterium. Its description in RNAcentral is "partial 16S ribosomal RNA". It matches the Rfam family "Bacterial small subunit ribosomal RNA", at positions 29 to 507 of the family's 1533-position model. The record is from RNAcentral.